UGUGCAAUAAUGAACCAGCACGGAGAGGAGCAGCAAAGCGUCGUGGCCGCCUCCCACGCACGGGCGCUGCCGCAGGAGAGCGGCGGUGGCGAGGCGGGGAUGGCCCCGGUGACAAACCGCGUUCCUCCGCGCCGCGUCUCGCAGCCAUCCUGAAAGUGAGGGGCGGUGCUGGCGCGUCCCUUUCCUGUGCAUCGCAGGACAGGCUGCUUUGGGGCAGCAGGGCGCAACAGAACGAUUUUUUUUUUUUUUUUUUGCCUGGCUGGGAAAGUCCCUAAGGCGCUCCGGGGCUUUUCCCAGGCGGUGCCAGCACACAGACACGAGGCUGCGUCUCUCCCGCCCCCGGGGCGGUGGGAGCCAGGAUAGCAGCGAGCCAGGCAAGGGGAUCCUCUCAGGAACAUUGGAAGAUUAGAUCAGAGCUGGCAUCUCCUUGGUUAUUGGCCUAUGCGCCUAUAAGAAGCUGCCACAAAGUGCUGAAGGACAAAUAUGGGGAGUUUUCUCCUCCAGCAUUCCAUGCUGAUUUCCCUGUAAGCUUUUGGUGCAACUGGACAAUCUGGGCAGGCUCCAGGAAGCACAUCAUAAUUUAUAUCCGGGGAUUUAUCACUAAGGAUGCUUGCAACAAAAAUGAGGACAAAAUUCUGUUUGAAGGAGUCUCCUCCCUGGUGGAAAACAGUGUUGUUUAUGCCUGCUGGAAAAAGGAGAUGCAUGUUUUUGCCACCUUUGCUCAGGCUGUCCACGUUGUGCUGCUGAAGAGGUACUUGCCAAACCAGAGAGAUGCACAAUUUCAAGGGAAGUACUACAUCUUCCAAGACCAGCAAGGUGCCACUUCCUUCAAAGAUGAUGCAAUUUCUGGAACUUCUGCUUCAAAACUGCCAAAGAAAGGUGGUGGUUUUCAGUCUGGCAGGGUUGAAAACCUUAGAGGUGCACUGGGCUUUGCAACCACACACGACAGCACCACUGUGCUAAGCAGCGACCUGAUGCAGGAAAGAGGGAUCACUCUGGACACCACGGCUGUGGGAAGUCCUACAGAGCUUAUCCCAUGUGAACGUGCAAGGACACAGGCCCUGGAAACAAAAGCUCCUUGUGGGUUGGGGUCUGACCUGCUGGAGCCUCAGGAAGCUCAAGCCAUAGGAGCACCUCAGGGAAUAAUCCCCACUGCAGCUCAGGACAUCUGGGAGCAGAAUCCCUCUGUGAGUGAGGACAGUGCUGAGAGUUCUGCUCCUGUGCACAGUGUGCUUUUGGAAACUCCUUUGCUUGGUGCCUUCCAGGGAGCAGAACCUUUUUGGCAGCCAGCAGGGGUGAGUCUGGAGAGCAGCCAGCCUGUCCUGAGCCCUACCCUGAGGCCAAAAGAUCUGGGCCACCUGCAGACUGCCAUUAAACCAACAGGCACGGGUCACCUGGCCUUGGCUGCACGCUCUGAGCCUCUGUCCCCUGGCACAGGACAAAGCCAGGAGGGCACAGGUCCCACCAGGGACAGCCAGCUCAGCAUGGCCAGCCUGGAGAAGGAUGGAAGCUGUGCCCUGUUGAGUGUCCCAGCUGAUGGCCUCACCAAGGGCCUGAUGCCCAGCCUCAGGAUCCCCUCUGGUGUGGUCACCAGGGACAAUUUGCAGCUACUUUCGGAGAGAAGCCAAAGCAGUUUGGGGCAUUUGUCCAUGCCUAAACCUGAGCUAGGCACAACUGGCCCCCAUCAGACCAAGCUCAUGGAUAUUUUCUCACCGGGAAGUUUUGGGGGAGCUGUCAGGAGGAGAACAGUGCUGCAUCCCACAGCACCAGGGCUGGAGCAUCCUCUCACACCUGUGCCUGCCCUGGGGACAGAAACCAUCCCUGUCCUGGUGACCUCCUCCACAGUGCCUGUCCCUGAAGGCUUUGGCUCUCUGGAUUUAGUCCCUGAAGCACCUCUUCCUCCACAAGUGGAGUCUCUGUCCAUGGUGGCCUCUCCACCACCUGCUCUGGAUUGGGACCCUGUCAGUCUCAGGCAAAGGGACAUCUCCCCAGCUAGACCAGGAGGACAGGAGAUGGUCUCCCCUUCACCACCUUGCCAUCCAUCAGUAGCCUCUGAACUGGGCACGGAUGGGUCCUCCAGAUGCCUUGGCCCUGGGAAGCAAAAGUUAGUGCUGGGGCAGGGGGGUGAAACCACAGUCUCUGAGGGCUUGAUGGCCAGGAGUCCCUCCCCGGUCUUUGUCACUGUCCCAGGGCCUGGUGUGAGGCUUGCUCAGUCUGAGGGCCAUGUCAGCAGAGGCUCUGGGGUGACACCAGCUUCCCUGUCUGACACCAGAGAGGUGCACAAGGUGCCUGUGCAGCAUCAGGACAGUGCUGCUAGUGACAAACCAGCUUCUGUCUCCAGAUUCAGGGGGUUUAAAAUGCAGGGAACCACAGAGGCUGUGCAAGUGGGUACAGGACAGAGAACAGCUGCCUCCUUCAGCACCACUCCUGCACACUCAGAUCUGCCUGCAGCUCCAUGGGGAGAAACACUGCCAAGAGACCAAAAGCCUUGGGAGCCCUCUGGUGCACCCAGGAACACCCAGAUGCCAGAAGGACAGCAAGGGAAACACGCUGAUAUGUCAGAGCUGGGCCCUCCCUGGGUAACUGAGUACUUUCCCAUCAGGAGCUGCCACCUCGUCUUCCGGGAUGGGUCUGGCCUGUUUUACCUCCCGCUGCACACGGAUGGUAAACCAAACAUCUGGUGCAACUGGACCAUCUGGGCAGGCCCCCAGAAGCACAUUGUCAUCUAUGUCCAAGGGUUCCAGGGGAGUGAUGGCUGUGGCAACAACCAGGACAAGAUCAUCUUCCAGGGGGUCUCAUCAAGUGUGGAAACCAAAGUGGUAUUUGCCUGCCACAACCGAGGCACUCUGGUCUUUGCUGCACAAGCCACUGAGGUCCAGGUGUUGUUUCUAUCAGGGAGUGGUUCCAGAAGCCAUGAAUACAGGUAUUUUAGAGGACAGUAUUACGUAUUCAGAGACUCUGAAACUGUGGGCUUUUCAAGUGAUACCAUGGCAGCUCCCCAGGAGCCUGUCCAGGAGACCUCUAAAAAAGAGAGCUGGAGGACAGUGGUGACCAAAGGUUUAUUGUCCAUGCUGACAGCUCCUCCAGGCUCACCAGCAGCACCUGCUGGUGGUGGGAUCCAGCCUGACUUUGUGAGCCCAGAAGAAGUGGGCCAACAUUCUCCUGAUCUCAUGGAAGAUGAUCAGUCUGGUGCUAACCGGAGCGAGCACGGUCAGGAUGAAACCAGGCUGGAAAGGAACCUUGAGGACAGAGGCAGCAAGGGCAGGGAAACUGAAGAUGACACAUUGGUGGAGCCAGCUUCAGCUGGGCAACAUAAUGGGGGCAAAGCUGAGCCACCUGCCUUGGAGCUGUCUCCUGGGACAGCUCUGGUCACCAUGGUCCCAUGUCACCCAGUUGGUUCCCCUUGCUCAGAGAUGCCAAACAGCAGUGUAGGUGUCUCUGACACAUCACCUACCCUGGGUCAGGCCAGUGGCAGCCCCUCAGAAGUGCUAGCUGUUGCACAUCACACACAGACACCAGAGCUGGCAGAGCCACCAUUGAACACCAGCACAAAACCACCUCUCUACCCCUCUCCUGGUGUGACUGCUGCUGAUGGGGUGUCUCUGGGAGGAAGGACUGAAGAGCUCUUUGAUCUGAUGUCAUCGGUGGGGAAUGACACAGGACUGCAAUCCCAGCACCAUCCUGGAGAUGUGCUGUUUGAAGUCACUGUUGAAAUCAAACCCAAGGACUGGAUUCCUCACGGUGGAAGUGAGUUCCAAAAGGGUCUCCUUGAAUCUCUGAAGAAUCACAUCCAGAAGAACCUGAAGCUUUCUGCCAAUAGAGUCAGUGAAAUAAAGUUAAAGGAUGUCAAAAGGACAAGGGAUGCCAACCUGCUGCUCACCUUCUGGCUGCACCUGGAGCCAGAGGAGAGGAACGUGUCUCUGCUCCUGCACUCCCACCUGGAGGAGCUGCUUGGCACCUUGGUGGGUGUGGAGGAGCUGCAGCUUGUUUCACUCUUUGUUGAAGAUGUGAACGAGUGCCAGGCUGGGCUUGGCCUCUGUGGGGAGGAGGCAGAGUGCUUCAAUGGCGUGGGCACUUACCUGUGCCGCUGCAAGAAGGGCUACGAGGACCAUUCUCCCACCAAGUCAGGCACGCUCUGCAUCCGCACCCCCCGAGCAGAUGGAGCUCCUCAUGGAACCAGAAUCUAUAGAUGAAACCAGAAUCUUAAGUGGUGCUUAAGACUGGAGAAAGUCUAGAGGAAUUCUCACUAUAACAAUAUUGCUUAAAAGCCAGGAAUUCCUUUCCUGCAUGCUGAAUUUUUCCCAUUCAUAGUGGAGGACUGAUGAUCAUAUCCAGCUUGCAGGCUUGUCCUCUCUCUCCCUGAAAUGUUUUAUUACAGAACUCAAUUAAGAGCAAAUCUCCCCUCAAACUCUGUCUUACAAGGUCAUGUCUGCCUUUAUGAAAUAUUGAAUCUGCAGCUGCAGGAUUUAUUACAACAGUAUUUUAAAAGACGUGAUGCUGGUGCAGCAGCUCUAAUUAGAAAUGCCCUGAGGUCACUGUGCAGGCCAAGUGUUGUUUCCAAACUGCAGCAUCCACAUCAAGAGGCAAGUUUAUACAUGUUGGACGGACAGACAGAGAUACCUGUGGGAAAAACUGGAGUCUGCUGAGAAGUGCUGCUAUGCUGUGAUUUCUUACUCCUUUAAUUUGAAUUAGGUCAGUUUGAGCCAGACUUUGCCUCGGUAGCAUUACUGAGUUGCUGCAGUUUAGUGGAGAGGGAAGACCCGGGCUAAAACCUUCAGCUUUGUGCUACAGUGUGACCAAUUACAUACUUUGCCACCUGGCCAGUAAGAAGUAAUCAAAGCGGAAUGUGGACUGAUGCUGGAUGUUUAUCACAGUAAGGUUCCCCUUGUGAGGAAGUCCAGCAGGCAGACACAGGAAAAGGUUCAGGAGAUGAAUACACCCGAGGAGUUCUGUUCUACACGACAAAUUGCCCACCGCUGUACCAGGCAGCCUGUGUUGAUCACGCCUGAAGAAUAUCUCCUUUCCUUGAAUAUGAAACAUGGCAACCCACUGUAGGAGGGCUCAGGAUUGACGCUGCUGUCCUGCAGGGAUAAUGAGGAAUUUACCAAAGCAGAGCAACAGAUGCCUUGAGAGAUGAAUGCGACUCCUGUCCUUGACCUCCUCUGCAGAUAAAUACGUGUCCUUUACUGCUGAGUGGUUUGAGAAGAAUGUCAGCCAGACAAGAGAGGGGAGAUAGAGGAAAGACAGACACUUUAACAUCGAACUGCGCACAACAUCCAGCCUCCGCCGCCCGGGUGCCGUUCCCUGAGCACGCAGGUUAAAUCAGCAAAGGAACGUCGUCCUGCCUGCGGUAUUUAAUUCCCACCAGUUUCCCAACCGCACCCGAACUCCGGAGCCCCUACAGGACCGGGGCCUGUGCUGCAGGACUUGGGGCAGGCCUGGCGUUUGACCGCCCCCUCCUCAAGGCGGGCCCAGCGCAGGGACUGUCCCUCGCCGCCGUUCCUCCUCCCCUCCCGCCGACUCGAUCCGCGGCCGCUCGCUCCCUUCAGCAUCCCCACGCCCGCCUCACGGGAGGCAUCACUGGCUCCCUCCCCGGCUCCCUCCGUCCCUGCCCUUCCCUUCCCUUCCCGCCGCUCCCCGGCCCUGGGGCGGUGGCGAGUCCCGGGGGCGGCGGUGGAGCCACGCCCCGCCCCCCCGCGGCUUUAGGAAGCGCCGCCGCCAGUCGCCGGCGG
This is an RNA transcript of Motacilla alba alba, 5732 nucleotides long. RefSeq lists it as uncharacterized. Lineage: Eukaryota; Metazoa; Chordata; Aves; Passeriformes; Motacillidae. The transcript has 12 exons. The record is from RefSeq and is a predicted model, not a curated record.